Molecule: long non-coding RNA, 1308 nt
Organism: Mesocricetus auratus (golden hamster)
Lineage: Eukaryota; Metazoa; Chordata; Mammalia; Rodentia; Cricetidae
Exons: 4
Source: RefSeq, a predicted model, not a curated record
ACUGAGGCGGUCUCCUCAUUUCAUGCCUCAUGGUAUCACGUGACAUGGGUAGGAGAAACACAGUGCAUGCAGCUUUCUGGCUUGCAUUGGCCUGGGCACUGGGAACUGAAGUUGAAGACCAUAGGAAGGAGAUGACGGGUGUGCAGAGUUCAGCAGUCAUGGCCAAAGUAUGGUCCUAUUCCGCACCAUCAUCAGCUCUGGGCUCUCUGGCAUAAUGAUCUGUUCAGGUGUGAGCUCUCAGCAUCCAGUCCCUGCCACCAUGCCUGCAACUUGCUGCCAUACUCCCUCACCAUGAGCCAAAUGAACUCUUCCUUCUAUAAGUGGCCUUGGUCAAGUUGUUUCACCACAGCAAUGGAAAGGUAACUAAGUCCUGGAGCAUGUGCAGUCCUAUAAUUGGACCCCACCCUGCAGGCCUGGGGACCUUGACAGCUCUCUCUCCGCACCUGCACCCGACAGUGAUAUCGCAGGAGUCAGUCUGUAGCCACUGAAUGGAUUAUUUCUGAGAAGAGGAAGAGAUGGAAACAUGGACGUUUCCAGACGAGACUGAAUGUGUCCAGGAACCCUGGUUUCAAAGCCAUGGCACCUGUCCAGCCAGGCUGUGAGCUCACUGGGAAACCUUCAACUGCUUCUCAAACACUGCACAGCUCCCAGGGUGCUAGAGGACACUCUGCCUCAAGGAAGACUUUUCCCAUAGCUGAGGGACAAGGGCAGGAAGUAUCUGCUGAAGCCUCUGGCUGUCUUGACAGCGGAGACAGCCUGGUGACGAGCAGCGGCAGACACUUGGGUCCCUUGGCCCACCUCUUCCAGCCCAGCUUGGCUGCCCAAGGCCCAGUAGGAGGGUGGAUGGUGGGUUUCACUCGGUGAGAUCCGACAGAAACCACAGCAGCUCCUCUGUCGGCUCCAGUAAUCAUCAGCCUCAAUCUCUGGUGCGAUAUUUUAUGAAUUAAUAAAAAUGAUCACGGGCAGUCCAGGGGGACCCAAGGAAGAAUCGCAUGCGGUAGAAUUUUAAUGAGCACCAUGGGGAAUUUCAACCUUCCCCUGCUUUUUAUUAUUAUUUUUUGAAAAAAUAUCUUCCCUUCUCCCUCCUUGCUGGCCCACCCCUUUUGAAAAAAAAAUCAUAGACUGAGCCACUCUAAAUGACUGUUACAUGAAUUAGGUGUCUUUCCCUCCCCGUGUUCUUUGGCCCACCACACAGCCCUCCUGCCCCACACACCCGCCUGGCACACCUGCUCUCUGCCCUAAUUGAGCAGAUCAUCAGCCUAUUUGUCAAGCUUAGCCCAGACCCCCUAACAGCCACCUCCUCCCCUA